UUGUCUAGAAACGUGUAUUCCUUGUUGUACUGUGGUAGUAGUUAUUUUUCUAACUUCCUUGGCAUUUCUCGACAGAGGGGCUGCGUACAUACAAAUUGAAUUCAGGAUGGAUAUGAUGGGGAAGGCUAUGUUCUCUCACCAAGUUGGUAAAUUCAAAGAAGACCUUGGAUUGAAAGGAGACGAGGAGGAGAAGACGAGUAACUAUGAUCCUCGGAAAGAAGCAGAGGAAGAAGAACAGCUAGCAGAACAAAGACAACGUCGAAAGGAAGCACAGGGUAAGAAGCAAGCAGAGAGGGCAGUAAACCGGAACAAAAUCAGAGAAAAAUAUGGACUGAAGCAGAACAAGCACGACCAGCAACUAGUGACGAACCAUGGAAAACCAACCCCUUCCGCGAAAGCACCCUCGAGAGACGAUUCUUCUUUAACAAGGAGCGGGUCUUCAUCAUCGUCACAGGAUAAGAAAGAUGACAAGUGUGCAGUCAUGUGAUCUUUUCUCAAAGCCUUAAAUACAUCAGGUGACCAUUUCAGGAUGUGUGUUGAAUGAGUUUCUGGGAGUAAUAUACAGUACAUGUAGUAGCUUCGUCCUAAGAUCAUGAUGCAUAUUCUGUAUAUGUUGAGAUGGAGAAUGGCUUCAUGGCUUUGGUUGCUUCUAUCAGCCUGGGACAAACAUGAUAAAAACCAUGAGAUGCUUGCCACAGUGAUUGAUCUUCCUUGGAGAUGGGUAACUUCUAUUAUCGGUAACUUCUAUUAUGAUUGUGCAAAGUAAAUGGCAAGGUACAAAUGAAGAUACGCUAUUGAAAUUCACUGUGGGCAUGCAGUUGUCAUUCCAAUGAUAAAGUUAUGUAUUUGAAUGAGCAUAAUGAAUUUUGUUUACCUCUACAAGAUUGUUUUUCAUACGUUCACCUAUGUUCUCAUUUUUGUGGCUUACUAUAAGUAUAAAAUCUGAUGAAUUAUGGAAGUCAUGUUACGUCAUCAUGUUAAUUGUUAUGCCUUCAAGAAUGGAAAUUUUUACGUGAUUUUCAGUGGCCAUUUUCAUUUUAGAGGGUGUUCAAUUUCUUCUUACUUUUUGAAUGACUUUACCAUCAAACAUUUGCCUUGCCCCCCCGCUUCUCAUUUUUAAACGAAACUAUCUCGACUAUUGAAAAUGCUGAUUUGUCGAUAUAUGAUGCAGGAACAAAGUGAUUACUGGUAUACAAAGUGAAGAUUGCAGAGAUGUCAACAUUGUCAAUCUAAGUUUAUCAUUGCUGCACAAGGGUCUUCAUUGCUGCACAAGGGUCUUCCAGAGUUAUUCAUUGUAUUCUUGAUAUGGUGUCUAUUGUCUAAUACUCCAAUUAUCUGUUCUCGGCGAGAUUGUACUGGAUUCCCUCCACAGUUUGAGUGAAGACAUCUUUCAAGUAAUUAUCCAAAAUUAUUGAAUGCCUUCAGAAAUUUGUCUUUCACCAAUCACAUUUCUUGAUAUUUUAGUCUUCCAUCUAAGCGGUUGCCCUUCCAGUCCAGGUAGUGCCUUGCUUUUCAUGGACAUAUUUUUCUAUAAGCGCUGCAUAUGUACACUUUUAAUCAAUUUUCUCCUUUUCAUAUUCAGUUACAAAUGUAUAAAGGACAAAUUGUAGUAGACUUUAUUCUAUUUCGUCAAGAUAUUCCUGUUUUCAUUCAGUAGCGUACAACACCUGUUCUUCAUGGACAUUUUCUCUUCUUCUAGUACUACUAGUACACUUUUUAUCUAUUUUUGUCCUUUCAUAUUCAGUUACAUUAUAGAGGAGUGACUGUAGACUUUUGAUUCUAUUUUGUUAAGAUAUUCUUGCUUCCAUACACUGUAUGAACAGAACUGUAUGAACAGAGAAGUAAAGGUUUGAGAAGGGAUUGCGAUAAUAGCAGAACCUAUGAUACGAUUACUAAUUGAUAUGGGGAAAUUCACACUGGCAAUUCUCUGUAUCUUUAACCUAUCUUUGUUGUUGAAUGUUUGAAACAUGCAUCAAUUUCCAAGUUAACAUCCUGGAAAUUCAUCAACUUGUGCUGGUUUCUAUGAGGAUUUAGUUUCAUUUCCUGUUGGAUUUGUAUAUUUUAUCAAUUACUCUUGUUUCACUUUGAUUCAUUAUAUUCCAGAGAUCAUACAGGAAUUUUUUUCUUUUCUUUAACAAGUGCCUUUUUUAAUUGUUGAAAGAAACAGUAGCACGUCUACUGUUUAAUGUACAUACUGCAUAUUUUCAGGUUUUGCGUCUUCCAGGAAAUCCUAUUUGUGGUAUUGGUUUUGAUUUGCAAACUGUUGAAAAGAGAGAUUGCUUACCAUCAGAAAACACAAAUACAUGUACAUGUACAAACAUAAUGUACAGGGUAAAGUCCUACUUUUAGAUUAUACAGGUGUACAUCAAGUCUGUACUUCCAAUGCCAAAAAUCUGGUCACCCUAGAUUUAUUGGACUUCCUGGACUAAUUAGAUGUUAUAACAAAGUACAAUAUUCUUGUUUUAUGUACUCGGUUGGUAUUGAAUUGAAUUUUUUUUUCCUUUUUUCUUUUAAACUCUACUUCAGUUUAAUCAGCCUUGAUGAAAGAUAACAUUUCAUCAUGUAAUUUAUGAAACUAUUCAGGUAUUCCAGAUAAAGCCUUUGCAGGGUAAAAAAUCAACCAUUAUACAUUGUAGGUGUAUCACAUGUUAUGCAAAUUGUGUGACUAUGACUUUUGCCAAAUAUGUAGUUGUACAAUGCUGAGACAUUGAUUUUAAUCUACAAGUCUCUCUACUUUGUAUGUGCUGUUGAUAAGAGGAGAAUGUAAUCAAUGUACCGGUAGUGACUAUUGAGCUAAUGAGAUAGUGUGAUGAUCAGAGACGGUUAAAAUAAACCGAACUACUAAUGUAAAUCUACAUGCAACCUGUAUGCAAUUUGUGAUGCCUACUAAGGGAGGAUUUUCCCCCGAGUCGUUCAUAUCUUUCUAGAAUGCAGCUCGGAGGAUGCCAUUGUAUUGGAUAUGUACAUGUGAACAGUGCACAUAAAGUAUGGUACAUGUGUCUACUGGGAGAUUAUGUACAUACAAGCAUAAAAAAGCAGUAAUAUAUGUACAUCUAUGUAUUAAAGAUGUAAAAUUGUAAAUGUUAUUGUUAUCUGAGUUUAUGUAAUAUACUUUUGAUCAUGCAAUUGGGCCAAACAACUUGUCCGGCAUAUAAGGUGUAAAUAUGAUGAGUGUUUGGAUGCAAAAAUAAUCUGCUAUGCAUAGGUGUACCAGCAAUAAAACAUGAUGCAUCUUUUGGAUAUGGGCUUUGUCAUUUUAGGUACAGUAUGCAACUUCACUCUUCAUUGUAUAUGUACAUCUGAAAGCUUAUUUUAUUGAUUUUGCUGUGAUAUCAUCUGUUUGGGCCCAGAAGAGCGUUAACUCGUAUUCUUCAACACAGAGUUAAUGCCCUUCUGGCUCCAGACAGAUAAUAUUAUUAUGUCCUUUUUUUAUUUGUAAGGGAUUUGAGGGUCAUGAUUUUGCAUGUUAGUGAAUUUUCAUGUUCUUUGCCAAAAAAUGUACAUUUAUACAAUUCUUUAAAUAAUGAAGGUGAAAUGAAGUUUAAUAUAUUGCGUUAACUAUCAUACAUGUAUAUUCUUCACUGUGAGUGAACUCUAUAUAAUUAUGUACCAUCUUAAGUUUAAGUGCUUAUAGGUUGUCCAUGAGGGGCCUUAUGUCAUAAAUGAAUUAAUGUGCCUUUUUUCAGCUUUGGGAAUUUGAAAUGGAUAGCCCCAUCGCUCUGAUUAUUUAAAUGAAGAAACUAGAAUACGUUAUACCCAAGUCAUACCAAAGAGACCAACUCCAGACUUUUCCAGACUGAACAAAAGAUACAUUACACUGAAUGGUAAAAGAAUCAGUCGGUUUGGGAUCGGUGUUGAGUAGGGUUAGCAGUGUGACUGAGGUAUGAUCUGGCCAGAGAUAUGUUGUGAAUAAUUUCAAAUGUAUGCAGUGUUGACCAUUGUUAACCAAAUAUCGUCCCUAUUUUCACGAAGUGACGUUAGUGAGGAAAAUCGUAACGCAAAGUGAAUGCAAUUUUUUUUCACUACCGUCACUUCGUGAAAACAGCGACGAUAUGUGCCUUCGAUAAAGUGUGCCUUACCAGUCUUGAAAUUUAUACAGAAUUGCUUUAAAUAAUCAUUAAAUAAAAUAUAUUCCAAAAUAAAUAUAUCUUACACUUA
This is a long non-coding RNA of Strongylocentrotus purpuratus (purple sea urchin), 4158 nucleotides long. RefSeq lists it as uncharacterized. NCBI's taxonomy places the organism in Eukaryota, Metazoa, Echinodermata, Echinoidea, Camarodonta, Strongylocentrotidae. The record is from RefSeq and is a predicted model, not a curated record. The transcript has 3 exons.